GAUGAACGCUGGCGGCGUGCCUAAUACAUGCAAGUCGAGCGAACAGAUGAGGAGCUUGCUCCUCUGACGUUAGCGGCGGACGGGUGAGUAACACGUGGAUAACCUACCUAUAAGACUGGGAUAACUUCGGGAAACCGGAGCUAAUACCGGAUAAUAUAUUGAACCGCAUGGUUCAAUAGUGAAAGACGGUUUUGCUGUCACUUAUAGAUGGAUCCGCGCCGCAUUAGCUAGUUGGUAAGGUAACGGCUUACCAAGGCAACGAUGCGUAGCCGACCUGAGAGGGUGAUCGGCCACACUGGAACUGAGACACGGUCCAGACUCCUACGGGAGGCAGCAGUAGGGAAUCUUCCGCAAUGGGCGAAAGCUUGACGGAGCAACGCCGCUUGAGUGAUGAAGGUCUUCGGAUCGUAAAACUCUGUUAUUAGGGAAGAACAAAUGUGUAAGUAACUAUGCACGUCUUGACGGUACCUAAUCAGAAAGCCACGGCUAACUACGUG
Molecule: ribosomal RNA, 497 nt
Filed under: uncultured bacterium
Lineage: Bacteria
Description: partial 16S ribosomal RNA
Rfam family: Bacterial small subunit ribosomal RNA
Source: RNAcentral